AUCAUUGGAUUUUAGGGUCUGGGACUUUCCUGGCCUCUGCCACACAGACCCCUGCUGUUUUCUGCCCUUUUUUAAAUCAGAAAGUUAGGCAGACCACCUACUACAAUUGCACCACAGUGCAUAUAAUCUCCCUGUGACUUGAAGACAUGACCAUAUUUAAAAAUGAGAAUGUACAGAAGAUGUAGGGAGACAUUUUUAUGUUGAGUGUUCAAAACAGACUCCAUAAAGCUAAAGGCCUUCUGGGGUAAGUUCUUCAGAUCAUGUCAAGUGAGAUGUGGCUGUGUUAGAAUCCUGAUGGUGAGUGCAGAAUCUGUAAGGGCAGAGAAGCACUGACAUCAUACUCUGAUGUGAUGCAUUGUCAGAAGAGAGAGGAUGAUAAUGAUGGGAGAUAAGCAGCAUCUAGUUCAGAGUUGUGGAACAGCCGCCUGUAAGCUAUAUACGGGGAAUGCCGUCUUCUUCCCUGGAGGGGAAUCAGUUUUAUCACACUGUCUAGGGUCUGUACCAGGGCUCUUUCUUUCUCUGUGUUGGCCUAGUCAACCUAGUCAGCCUGGAUCAGUAUUUGGGCAUUAAGACCAGGAUCAUUGAGCCCUGUCUCACUGCAUGUAGUACCUGGCAAGUACUUAGGGGUUUAGAUUUCACAUUUUGAUCAGGUUAUCCAUAUGCCAACCUUCUUCCAUUUCAUGGGACUGUAUGGUGCAGAAUUCCUUCAUGGAAGCAUUUUUGUUACUAUAGGGGAAUCAUUCCAGUUUCCUGGUACGCAAAUGGUGAAACCCAUGGCCAUCUAAAGGCAAAAUACACUCAAGAAUUUCUUCACAUAGCUCUUCCAAGGCAACAAAACAAUCACAAGGCACUCAUGGCUGGAAACUUCUAGAAAACUUCAAUGCAAAGCAAGUGGAUAAAUAAUUGAACUUUGUAUGAUUUGAUCAACACCAAGGAGGAACACAGUGAUUGACACAUUUGAAUUUGGGAAGGUUUUCUUUAAUUGUAUUGCUUAUCCUGAUUCACUUCCACAAAGGCAUUUUCUAGAAAAGUUUUUAUUUCCAUUUGUGUUGUUUUUACCUUGUUGAAAAAUUUAGACUCUCGAUAUCUUAGAGAAAGUUAAAAAGAUAACUUGGUUGUUGUUUCAUGUUAUUAAGUGGGAAAAUAGUCGUAGUUUACUCUCUGUUGCUGUUCUCUGUUGCUGUGAUAAAUACCACAAUCAAAAACAACUUAGGGAAGAAGAGGUUUGUUGAGGAUAGGAACUAAAGCAGGAGCAGGGGAUGGAAUCGUGUAAGAAAGGUGCUCCUAUAGCGCAUGCUCAGCUAGCUUCCCUGAACCGGGACUACCUGCCUGCCUAUGGGUGGCACUUGUCUACAGCAGACCACAUUAGUCAACAGUCAAAACCAUUCCAGACAUGGCCAUAGGCCACUCUGAUCUGGGCAAUUCCUCACUCCCUCAAUUGAGACUCUCACUUUCCCCGUGAUGUUCUUAAUUCUCUGCAUUAAAAAUAAAUGAGCCAUACAGAAACAAAAAGAGAACAGUUCUGAUGUCUGUACACUUAAAUGAUAAAACAGCACCAAAAUUCUAGGUCUUAUGUCAAUUAAUGCAAAGAUUAUGAAGACUCCAGCUCACAGUUUCACAAUAUUCUAUGAGUACAUAAUGCUUGCUUAAAUAGACAUGUUCUAAGUGACUAUAUACAUCUUGUAUUCUAAAUUGUAACUUGUGAACAGUUGCCUACAGCAUAUUUUAAAAACGCAAAGAAUGAUUUAAGAUCUGCAGGAUCCACUGAGAACUAAGAACAUUUGUUUUGAGAACUGAUAGUUUGCAUGCACUUUUUUUUCUAGCUUAGUGCUACAGAUGGUGGAUGUAAAUGCUAGCAAGAAAUGUGCUUAAGAUGCCAGUUCAUGAGUGCCCCCUCUAGUUCCACCAAACUCACAGAGUCACAAUUCCUUAGACUGGGGUUCUACAAUACCACUUGAUUUUUCUUCCUUCAAAUGCAAGGUCAGUAGCAUAAAGCUGUUGUCGACAUGUUUAGUUUUUUGACAAUGUCAUGCUGUUCUGUAUAUUUGUUUGUUUGUUUGGCUUGUGACGCUUUAUUCUGGAUGUCUGUUUUUUUUUCUUUUUAAACAUCUAAUUGAUUCUUUGUGAAUUUUACAUUAUACACCCCCGUACCACUUAUCUCCCCAUCCCUCCAUACCCACCCUCUGCCUUGCAACCCACCCCCUAACAGAGGGGAAAAAAUCUUGAUGUGGAAGCUGUGGUGUGUCAGUGUGAAUCACAGUGUGUCCUUUUGCCCAAACAGCUCUACUUGCAAACGUUCAUUCCAAGAGCCAUUGGUGUGGUUCGAGGCCUCUGGCUUCUGCUACACCAUCAAUGCUGGAUCCUCCCCAUGGCUUCUCUCAGGUAUCUUCUUGUUGCCCUGUGUCAUGGAGAUCCUGCAGCUUUGGAUCUACAGGACCCGCCCCUUCAUUUGCCCCAGCAGUUAAUAGAUGGGGUAGAUGUUGGAGUGGGUGGAUACUUCAUAUUAAUUGACAUAUGACCUAGAAUUUGGGUACUGCACAGUGUAAAGUAUUUAAAGGAGUGAGUGUAUAAGACAUCAGUGGAAAGAUUGCCAAUAGGUGUACCAAGUACUCUGGGACAGAAAGAGUAGGACCAAGAGGAGCAACUGCAGCCAGCUCAUGAACUCCCUCAGGCUGUGGGGCUAAUGUUACAAAGGUCAUCACAGUAAAUGAAAUGCCAGCAGCUCUUCUCCCAUUGGAAGACACCAACCUACAUACCCAGUGAAUUUGUAAAAGACAAAUUCAAUUUAAUGGAGCAAUGAGUGUGUUCCACAAAUGACUGC
This 2821-nucleotide long non-coding RNA is filed under the name Mus musculus (house mouse). Its description in RNAcentral is "long non-coding RNA chr3:36167200-36170021". The record is from RNAcentral. Lineage: Eukaryota; Metazoa; Chordata; Mammalia; Rodentia; Muridae.